GUAAAAUGGCUGAAGUUUAGGCAGUAAAUUGUAAAUUUAUUAAUGAAUUUAAUUCUUUUACC
Molecule: transfer RNA, 62 nt
Filed under: Ixodes ovatus
Lineage: Eukaryota; Metazoa; Arthropoda; Arachnida; Ixodida; Ixodidae
Description: tRNA-Tyr
Source: RNAcentral